RNAcentral lists this ribosomal RNA (429 nucleotides) under Chloroflexota bacterium. Its description in RNAcentral is "Chloroflexi bacterium partial 16S ribosomal RNA". It matches the Rfam family "Bacterial small subunit ribosomal RNA", at positions 355 to 776 of the family's 1533-position model. Lineage: Bacteria; Bacillati; Chloroflexota. The record is from RNAcentral.
UGGGGAAUAUUGCACAAUGGGCGCAAGCCUGAUGCAGCCAUGCCGCGUGUGUGAAGAAGGCCUUCGGGUUGUAAAGCACUUUCAGCGGGGAGGAAGGCGUUAAGGUUAAUAACCUUGGCGAUUGACGUUACCCGCAGAAGAAGCACCGGCUAACUCCGUGCCAGCAGCCGCGGUAAUACGGAGGGUGCAAGCGUUAAUCGGAAUUACUGGGCGUAAAGCGCACGCAGGCGGUCUGUCAAGUCGGAUGUGAAAUCCCCGGGCUCAACCUGGGAACUGGAGUAGAAGCUGGCAGGCUGGAGGCUUGUAGAGGGGGGUAGAAGUCCAGGUGUAGCGGUGGAAUGCGUAGAGAUCUGGAGGAAUACCGGUGGCGAAGGCGGCCCCCUGGACAAAGACUGACGCUCAUGUGCGAAAGCGUGGGGGGCAAACAGG